This 874-nucleotide long non-coding RNA is filed under the name Prunus persica (peach). Its description in RNAcentral is "long non-coding RNA (PPER_LNC003311)". Lineage: Eukaryota; Viridiplantae; Streptophyta; Magnoliopsida; Rosales; Rosaceae. The record is from RNAcentral.
UAAAAUCAGAAUGCGAGUCAUAGACAGUGACAGUAUGUCGCACAAAGUCGACUUCUACUGCCACCCAAUGGGACUGUCGAACAUUAUACGGGAGAUAGACCUUGCGCACUUUCGUCCAUGCUUGCGCAUACCCAUGGUGCCAUGACCCAUUGACAAAGUGGUGUACAUUUUUGAGGUAGUUAGGUGGAGGGUCAACGGUCGUUGAAGCAUAUUGUUUCCUCGUGACUCGUUUGCCACUUGGCAUUGCAAACGGCUGUAAAAAUUGCUGCAACCAAGUGUGAAAGACACGUUACAUAAACCCGAACCAAAGCACCAAAAGGAGAGAUCUACAUGACUCCUACCAAUGCAAGAACUGCAGUGACACAUAAUAUGGAUACAAUCAUACCUGCAGACAAAACUCGGCAGUUGUCCACUCCCUUCCAAAUAGUUGAGGAUGAGAGAGUUGUCUUUUGCGUAUUAGAAACAUAGCCAUGUCAAGGUGCUGCUAUUUCAGAACACAACAACGGUGUCAAGAUGACAACAAAUGACACAUAGUCAAUGUCAUCAAAUAAGAGAUUGAUCGAAAUAAAGCCGGGUUCAAAUUGUUACCCUCGAGCUCAUCCAUGCAGUUUCAUCUAUCAGUUUGUAAAAAAAAUCUGCCCCAACUUCAAAUGGUUCGAGCUCCAACUCCGCACUACAAAAACAACACUUGCAAAGGUAAAUUGAAAUAUAAUAGACAAGUGGAACACCUUGUAUAAUAUGACAAUGACACACACAUGUAUAGUAUAGCUGCGUAUAAAUUGUUUGCAUACAUCAAAAAACAAGUAUAUUGGUUUUGCCAAGAUACAAAUCCUAACCUGAUAUCAGUUUUCCAAGCCCUGCAAACUUGUAUGAU